RNAcentral lists this small RNA (575 nucleotides) under Pongo abelii (Sumatran orangutan). RNAcentral describes it as "processed transcript". The record is from RNAcentral. Lineage: Eukaryota; Metazoa; Chordata; Mammalia; Primates; Hominidae.
AUAACCUGCAGUACAGCUAAAUCAUUUUACAAAUACAUCUUUCCUCCUUUUCCCUAGGAAUGCUUUGCCUUUUAUCUUUCCUUUGGAAGCAGUAUCCAUAAGCCUUCAUCAGAAGCUUCUAAAAGUGGAAGGAAUUUUUCUUUGUUAGAAUGGACCACGGGCUAAAUUAAAGGAGAUUGCUAUAAGCUGCUUUCAUGUUGUAUCAGAGUAAGAUGGACGGUAGCUUUGAUUGUGAUUGUGGUGAGCUGGAGCCACCUGAUCACUAACAAAAGACAUCUUCUGUUAACCAACAGCCACCAGGGCUUCCUGUUGAAAUAAAUAUAUAGCAACAAAGGAAGAAAAGAAGCAAAACGGAAAUAGUGCUUACCAGCACCUUAGAAUGAUGCUGCUCAGGACCAGUCCAACACUGAAUGUAUCUGCACUGUGAGGAGAAUGUUCAUAGAAGCCUGUUGUGUGCAUAUUUAUUCACAUUUUUGUUAAAUGUUAAAUCGUUUAGCACGGUAAUCUGAGUGCACAGUAUGUCAUUUCAUUCCGUUUGAGUUUCUUGUUUUCGUUAAAUGUCUGCAGAGUUGCUG